CCUACGGGUGGCAGCAGUGAGGAAUAUUGGUCAAUGGCCGCAGGGCUGAACCAGCCAAGUCGCGUGAGGGAUGACGGUCCUAUGGAUUGUAAACCUCUUUUGUCAGGGAGCAAAGGGCGCCACGUGUGGCGCUUUGCGAGUACCUGACGAAAAAGCAUCGGCUAACUCCGUGCCAGCAGCCGCGGUAAUACGGAGGAUGCGAGCGUUAUCCGGAUUUAUUGGGUUUAAAGGGUGCGCAGGCGGAAUGUCAAGUCAGCGGUAAAAUUUCGGGGCUCAACCCCGUCGUGCCGUUGAAACUGGCGUGCUUGAGUGAGCGAGAAGUAGGCGGAAUGCGUGGUGUAGCGGUGAAAUGCAUAGAUAUCACGCAGAACUCCGAUUGCGAAGGCAGCAUACCGGAGCUCAACUGACGCUGAUGCACGAAAGCGUGGGUAUCGAACAGGAUUAGAUACCCGAGUAGUC
RNAcentral lists this ribosomal RNA (459 nucleotides) under uncultured bacterium. Its description in RNAcentral is "partial 16S ribosomal RNA". It matches the Rfam family "Bacterial small subunit ribosomal RNA", at positions 338 to 795 of the family's 1533-position model. The record is from RNAcentral.